Musa acuminata AAA Group (dessert banana) is the source of this 1426-nucleotide RNA transcript. RefSeq lists it as uncharacterized. The transcript is spliced from 6 exons. The record is from RefSeq and is a predicted model, not a curated record. Lineage: Eukaryota; Viridiplantae; Streptophyta; Magnoliopsida; Zingiberales; Musaceae.
GGUUUUUUUAUCUUGUUCUGGAUAAUGAAAACUUGUUGCUUCGAGGGGUCUUUUAUCAUUUGGUAUUCCUCUUCCCGGAAAAUGCUGUUGCUUAACAAUUGGGUCCCCUGCGGCUCCCCGACUCUUCCUCUCCUGCGGCCCUCUCUCUCGCAUGCUAACCUAAUCCACCGUUACCGCCCGCCUCUUCCUUUGAAGAAGAGGUGCGUACGAGGAGUUCUCUCGUGCUCCCUUCGCCAGUUCGCAAGAUCGAUGGAGGGCGAACGGCGACCCACAACGGGAGAGGAAAGGGAGGAGGGUGUCCCCUCGAUGAAGCUCCUAUUCGUCGAGAUGGGCGUCGGCUAUGAUCAGCAUGGGCAAGAUAUAACCACCGCUGCGAUGCGCGCUUGCCGCGACGCCAUCUCUUCCAACUCCAUCCCUGCUUUUCGACGAGGGUCGAUUCCUGGUGUUAAUUCGGAUCACAUGAAGCUUGUAAUCAAGCUAGGAGUCCCUCGGUCUACCCAGCAUCUGCUCGAUAUUGAGAUGGUUAAAUCUGUCUUUCCUUAUGGCGAAAUUAUUAAGGUGGAGGUUGUCGAUGGAGGGAUGAUAUGCUCAAGUGGUGUUUAUCUUGAAGCGAUGGGAGACAAAAAUGAUGAUUGCUACAUAGUGAAUGCUGCGAUAUAUGUUGGCUACUGAUGCCUUUAGUGCUGCAUAUAGGAUCUGAUUCCAAGUAUCUGGAAGGCCGGAAACGCACCAGUGGCUGCAAUCCAUGCCUGCGUGAUCUCCACUGUAUGCAGAUGGAUGUGCGUCUUUUCUGAGUUGGGAGAGCAAGGUUAUGUCAAGCAGAUAAACUGGCUUUGUCAUGGUACUAAGAACACUCUUCACGAUGCCUUGAGCUGGAACUGGACCACCAGGGUAAUGGGUUGGGGAUAUCCCUUGGAAGAAGACUUUGGUUGUGGCAGGAUUGACGUUGGAAUCCACCCAUUUGGCCCAAGUAGUUAGCCCCUUGUUGAAGGCCAGCAACCUAUCCAUGUCUCGGUAAACCUGGACUCCGUCCUGUACAUAGUCCCAUCUGCACCACAAGAUUGCUGUUGUUAGACUGACAUGGUAGAUGAAAUAACAGCUUUUCCAAAGAAUAAUGCAGGGUUCUGAGUUAGGGCAUCUCUCACACGGUUGGCUGUUUCCUCUGUGAGUCCACCAAUGCCAGGUAUUGAAGAUUAACACGUCGGCGCCCAGCCACACCGAGCCAGAUUGGAUGGAAUCGAGCUUCAGGACGCGGCCGAUGGGUUCGUUCACUAUGUCCACCAGGUAUGUGGUAUGGUAGUACACUACCGACACUCCAUAAUCCUGCAGUAGCGCCUGUUGUUAGCUGUAGUUUCAUUUAAUUCUUUUCCAUGCUUUCGCUGUUGCACUCAUGUGCUUUCAUAGUUAAAAUCUCUACAUGACUGGA